This 2687-nucleotide long non-coding RNA is filed under the name Salmo salar (Atlantic salmon). RNAcentral describes it as "lncRNA (ENSSSAG00000088822.1)". Lineage: Eukaryota; Metazoa; Chordata; Actinopteri; Salmoniformes; Salmonidae. The record is from RNAcentral.
GUAUAGAGACAUAUUACCAUGGGUUAUAGUGGGCUGUGUGUUAGGUAUAGAGACAUAUUACCAUGGGUUAUAGUGGGCUGUGUGUUGGGUAUAGAGACAUAUUACCAUGGGUUAUAGUGGGCUGUGUGUUAGGUAUAGAGACAUAUUACCAUGGGUUAUAGUGGGCUGUGUGUUGGGUAUAGAGACAUAUUACCAUGGGUUAUAGUGGGCUGUGUGUUAGGUAUAGAGACAUAUUACCAUGGGUUAUAGUGGGCUGUGUGUCAGGUAUAGAGACAUAUUACCAUGGGUUAUAGUGGGCUGUGUGUUGGGUAUAGAGCCAUAUUACCAUGGGUUAUAGUGGGCUAUGUGUUAGGUAUAGAGACAUAUUAACAUGGGUUAUAGUAGGCUGUGUGUCGGGUAUAGAGACGUAUUACCAUCGGUUAUAGUGGGCUGUGUGUUGGGUAUAGAGACAUAUUACCAUGGGUUAUAGUGGGCUGUGUGUUCGGUAUAGAGACAUAUUACCAUGGGUUAUAGUGGGCUGUGUGUUGUGUAUAGAGUCAUAUUACCAUGGGUUAUAGUGGUCUGUGUGUCAGGUAUAGAGACAUAUUACCAUGGGUUAUAGUGGGCUGUGUGUCAGGUAUAGAGACAUAUUACCAUGGGUUAUAGUAGGCUGUGUGUUGGGUAUAGAGACAUAUUACCAUGGGUUAUAGUGGGCUGUGUGUCGGGUAUAGAGACGUAUUACCAUGGGUUAUAGUGGGCUGUGUGUUGGGUAUAGAGACAUAUUACCAUGGGUUAUAGUGGGCUGUGUGUUGGGUAUAGAGACAUAUUACCAUGGGUUAUAGUGGGCUGUGUGUUGGGUAUAGAGACAUAUUACCAUGGGUUAUAGUGGGCUGUGUGUCGGGUAUAGUGACAUAUUACCAUGGGUUAUAGUGGGCUGUGUAUUGGGUAUAGAGACAUAUUACCAUGGGUUAUAGUGGGCUGUGUGUUGGGUAUAGAGACAUAUUACCAUGGGUUAUAGUGGGCUAUGUGUUAGGUAUAGAGACAUAUUACCAUGGGUUAUAGUUGGCUGUGUGUUAGGUAUAGAGACAUAUUACCAUGGGUUAUAGUGGGCUGUGUGUCGGGUAUAGAGACAUAUUACCAUGGGUUAUUGUGGGCUGUGUGUUAGGUAUAGAGACAUAUUACCAUGGGUUAUAGUGGGCUGUGUGUUGGGUAUAGAGACAUAUUACCAUGGGUUAUAGUGGGCUGUGUGUCAGGUAUAGAGACAUAUUACCAUGGGUUAUAGUGGGCUGUGUGUCGGGUAUAGAGACAUAUUACCAUGGGGUAUAGUGAGCUGUGUGUUGGGUAUAGAGACAUAUUACCAUGGGUUAUAGUGGGCUGUGUGUUAGGUAUAGAGACAUAUUACCAUGGGUAAUAGUGAGCUGUGUGUUAGGUAUAGAGACAUAUUACCAUGGGUUAUAGUGGGCUGUGUGUUAAGUAUAGAGACAUAUUACCAUGGCUUAUAGUGGGCUGUGUGUUGGGUAUAGAGACAUAUUACCAAGGGUUAUAGUGGGCUGUGUGUCAGGUAUAGAGACAUAUUACCAUGGGUUAUAGUGGGCUGUGUGUCGGGUAUAGAGACAUAUUACCAUGGGUUAUAGUGGGCUGUGUGUUAGGUAUAGAGACAUAUUACCAUGGGUUAUAGUGGGCUGUGUGUUGGGUAUAGAGACAUAUUACCAUGGGUUAUAGUGGGCUGUGUGUCAGGUAUAGAGACAUAUUACCAUGGGUUAUAGUGGGCUGUGUGUCGGGUAUAGAGACAUAUUACCAUGGGUUAUAGUGAGCUGUGUGUUGGGUAUAGAGACAUAUUACCAUGGGUUAUAGUGGGCUGUGUGUUAGGUAUAGAGACAUAUUACCAUGGGUAAUAGUGAGCUGUGUGUUAGGUAUAGAGACAUACUACCAUGGGUUAUAGUGGGCUGUGUGUUAAUUAUAGAGACAUAUUACCAUGGGUUAUAGUGGGCUGUGUGUCGGGUAUAAAGACAUAUUACCAUGGGUUAUAGUGGGCUGUGUGUUAGGUAUAGAGACAUAUUACCAUGGGUUAUAGUGGGCUGUGUGUUAGGUAUAGAGACAUAUUACCAUGGGUUAUAGUGGGCUGUGUGUUAGGUAUAGAGACAUAUUACCAUGGGUUAUAGUGGGCUGUGUGUUGGGUAUAGAGACAUAUUACCAUGGGUUAUAGUGGGCUGUGUGUUAGGUAUAGAGACAUACUAACAUGGGUUAUAGUGAGCUGUGUGUUGGGUAUAGAGACAUAUUACCAUGAGUUAUAGUGGGCUGUGUGUUGGGUAUAGAGACAUAUUACCAUGGGUUAUAGUGGGCUGUGUGUUAGGUAUAGAGACAUAUUACCAUGGGUUAUAGUGGGCUGUGUUAAGUAUAGAGACAUAUUAACAUGGGUUAUAGUGGGCUGUGUGUUGGGUAUAGAGACGUAUUACCAUGGGUUAUAGUGGGCUUUGUGUUGGGUAUAGAGACAUAUUACCAUGGGUUAUAGUGGGCUGUGUGUCAGGUAUAGAGACAUAUUACCAUGGGUUAUAGUGGGCUGUGUGUCGGGUAUAGAGACAUAUUACCAUGGGUUAUAGUGGGCUGUGUGUUGGGUAUAGAGACAUAUUACCAUGGGUUAUAGUGGGCUGUGUGUUAGGUAUAGAGACAUAUUACCAUGGGUUAUAGUGGGCUGUGUGUUGGGUAUA